Molecule: long non-coding RNA, 629 nt
Organism: Gossypium raimondii (Peruvian cotton)
Lineage: Eukaryota; Viridiplantae; Streptophyta; Magnoliopsida; Malvales; Malvaceae
Exons: 2
Source: RefSeq, a predicted model, not a curated record
UUUAAGAAAUAUGAAAGAAUCAAUUUAAGCAUGUUACAAAGGCGGAGGACCAAUCGUGCAAAUAAGCCAUUGAGCCUUGACAUAAAGUCCAAACGGUGCCAUUUUGCUUAUGUCAUUAGAAACAAAAAGUUUCCUAAAACACUUCUACUUCAUUUCUUUCUUUUUUUUUUUUUUUGUAAAAAAAAGGAAGCAGAAAGGGGGGUUCUUUGCUAGGGUUUCAACCCUAGCACCUUCUUGCCGCCGUCGCCGUGCCAACCACGGAGCCACCGCGUACGGCGCUCGAAACCAGUUUGUGAUCCGUUUCAGGGACACUGGAGGAGACGUGCACGACGUGCGUGGAAAGUGACAGCCACUGGCACACGCGCGAAACUGCUACUAGGGUUUCCCGAUCCUUCCUCUGCUAUUGGUUUCGGGCUACUGUUUGGGCUCAUUUGGGUUUAGUCUAGGCUUGGGUUAAUUGGCCUAUUACGUAUAUUUUAUUUCUUUUUUUUUUUUUGUCAUUUUAUUUGACAAGUUGUUACAUACAUAGUCAAUUAUAAGCAGGAAAAAAAACUCAAACUGCCAUUUCUCAGUCAUUCCUCAAAUUAAUAGUAUUGUUGGAGUAUUAAAUUGAUAGAAUUUAGAUUAAA